CGCGGGGUGGAGCAGUUCGGUAGCUCACUGGGCUCAUAACCCAGAGGUCGCAGGUUCAAAUCCUGUCCCCGAUA
This is a non-coding RNA of Saccharothrix sp. ST-888, 74 nucleotides long. Lineage: Bacteria; Bacillati; Actinomycetota; Actinomycetes; Pseudonocardiales; Pseudonocardiaceae. The record is from Rfam.